This 72-nucleotide transfer RNA is filed under the name Alosa alosa (allis shad). RNAcentral describes it as "tRNA-Leu". It matches the Rfam family "tRNA". From Rfam's summary of the family: Transfer RNA (tRNA) molecules are approximately 80 nucleotides in length. Their secondary structure includes four short double-helical elements and three loops (D, anti-codon, and T loops). Lineage: Eukaryota; Metazoa; Chordata; Actinopteri; Clupeiformes; Clupeidae. The record is from RNAcentral.
GCUGUAGUAGUCAAACGGCUAAGACAUUUCAUUCAAGCUGAAACAUAGUCGGUUCGACUCCGGCCUACAGUA